GACGAACGCUGGCGGCGUGCUUAACACAUGCAAGUCGAACGGAAAGGCCCUGCUUUUGUGGGGUGCUCGAGUGGCGAACGGGUGAGUAACACGUGAGUAACCUGCCCUUGACUUUGGGAUAACUUCAGGAAACUGGGGCUAAUACCGGAUAGGAGCUCCUGCUGCAUGGUUGGGGUUGGAAAGUUUCGGCGGUUGGGGAUGGACUCGCGGCUUAUCAGCUUGUUGGUGGGGUAGUGGCUUACCAAGGCUUUGACGGGUAGCCGGCCUGAGAGGGUGACCGGCCACAUUGGGACUGGGAUACGGCCCAGACUCCUACGGGAGGCAGCAGUGGGGAAUAUUGCACAAUGGGCGGAAGCCGGAUGCAGCAACGCCGCGUGCGGGAUGACGGCCUUCGGGUUGUAAACCGCUUUCGCCUGUGACGAAGCGUGAGUGACGGUAAUGGGUAAAGAAGCACCGGCUAACUACGUG
RNAcentral lists this ribosomal RNA (468 nucleotides) under uncultured bacterium. RNAcentral's name for it is "partial 16S ribosomal RNA". It matches the Rfam family "Bacterial small subunit ribosomal RNA", at positions 28 to 507 of the family's 1533-position model. The record is from RNAcentral.